Molecule: ribosomal RNA, 491 nt
Filed under: uncultured bacterium
Lineage: Bacteria
Description: partial 16S ribosomal RNA
Rfam family: Bacterial small subunit ribosomal RNA
Source: RNAcentral
GUGAACGCUGGCGGUAGGCCUAACACAUGCAAGUCGAACGGCAGCACAGUAAGAGCUUGCUCUUACGGGUGGCGAGUGGCGGACGGGUGAGGAAUACAUCGGAAUCUACUUUUUCGUGGGGGAUAACGUAGGGAAACUUACGCUAAUACCGCAUACGACCUACGGGUGAAAGCAGGGGAUCUUCGGACCUUGCGCGAUUGAAUGAGCCGAUGUCGGAUUAGCUAGUUGGCGGGGUAAAGGCCCACCAAGACGACGAUCCGUAGCUGGUCUGAGAGGAUGAUCAGCCACACUGGAACUGAGACACGGUCCAGACUCCUACGGGAGGCAGCAGUGGGGAAUAUUGGACAAUGGGCGCAAGCCUGAUCCAGCCAUACCGCGUGGGUGAAGAAGGCCUUCGGGUUGUAAAGCCCUUUUGUUGGGAAAGAAAAGCAGCAGGUUAAUACCCCGCUGUUCUGACGGUACCCAAAGAAUAAGCACCGGCUAACUUCGUG